RNAcentral lists this ribosomal RNA (301 nucleotides) under uncultured bacterium. Its description in RNAcentral is "partial 16S ribosomal RNA". It matches the Rfam family "Bacterial small subunit ribosomal RNA", at positions 509 to 808 of the family's 1533-position model. The record is from RNAcentral.
CAGUGCCACGGUAAUACGUAGGGUGCAAGCGUUAAUCGGAAUUACUGGGCGUAAAGCGUGCGCAGGCGGUUCGUUAAGACAGAUGUGAAAUCCCCGGGCUUAACCUGGGAACUGCAUUUGUGACUGGCGAGCUAGAGUAUGGCAGAGGGGGGUAGAAUUCCACGUGUAGCAGUGAAAUGCGUAGGGAUGUGGAGGAAUACCGAUGGCGAAGGCAGCCCCCUGGGCCAAUACUGACGCUCAUGCACGAAAGCGUGGGGAGCAAACAGGAUUAGAUACCCCGGUAGUCCCUGUCUCUUAUACA